This 544-nucleotide long non-coding RNA is filed under the name Olea europaea subsp. europaea. Lineage: Eukaryota; Viridiplantae; Streptophyta; Magnoliopsida; Lamiales; Oleaceae. The record is from RNAcentral.
UUAUACUGUGUAAUUCGAUCUUUUGCUUUAAUACUGCGUUUCAUAUACUUAAUAAUAUAUAUACACACACACACACGUAUGUGUGUAUGUACAGUGUUUCAUAUAGCAAUUUGUACGUAUCUCUACUUUUUCCUGAUGUGUAACAUCUAUCUAUAAGAAGUUUAUUUCCUUGCAGAACAUCCUUGUUGUCUCAAAAUACUACUCACGUAUAACCUUGAAGAGGCUUGCAGAUCUACUGUGUCUUGAUAUCCAGGUCUGAUUGCUUCUGUUUAACAAAUACCAUUUGUUACGAUUUUGUAAUCCUGAAGAUUUCUUGGAUUGCGCUUGGAGUUAUCAGAAAUUUUUUCAUUUAUAAAUUAUUUGCAUGCACUAUUUUCAAGAUUUUACCUUCCUGCCCUAUAAAUAAAUGGAAUAAACAUUUAGAAAGUUCUGGAAUUAGACUGGGGACGUACAAGGUUUAUGAGCUAGCAUAACUUAUCUUUUAUGAUCAGUUUGUAGUCCUUUAUCGGCAGCAUGUCCAGCAUUAUAUAUAUAUGUGAGAAGA